Molecule: ribosomal RNA, 253 nt
Filed under: uncultured bacterium
Lineage: Bacteria
Description: partial 16S ribosomal RNA
Rfam family: Bacterial small subunit ribosomal RNA
Source: RNAcentral
UACGAAGGUGACAAGCGUUGUUCGGAAUCAUUGGGCGUAAAGCGCACGUAGGCGGGUUUGAAAGUCGAUUGUGAAAACCCUGGGCUCAACCCGGGACCUGCAGUCGAAACUUCAAGUCUUGAAUGCUCGAGAGGAUGGUGGAAUUCCAGGAGUAGUAGUGAAAUGCGUAGAUAUCUGGAGGAACACCGGUGGCGAAGGCGGCAUCCUGGACCGGCAUUGACGCUGAGGCGCGAAAGCUAGGGGAGCAAACGGG